Molecule: ribosomal RNA, 207 nt
Filed under: uncultured bacterium
Lineage: Bacteria
Description: partial 16S ribosomal RNA
Rfam family: Bacterial small subunit ribosomal RNA
Source: RNAcentral
UGCGUAGGUGGUUUGAUAAGUUAUCUGUGAAAGCCCUGGGCUUAACCUGGGAAGGCCAGAUAAGACUGUGAGACUAGAGUAUAGGAGAGGGUAGUGGAAUUUCCGGUGUAGCGGUGAAAUGCGUAGAGAUCGGAAGGAACACCAGUGGCGAAGGCGGCUACCUGGCCUAAUACUGACACUGAGGCACGAAAGCGUGGGGAGCAAACA